GGGUUUGGGAGAGGGGGAUUGCAUUAGGGACAUUGGGGGAUAUAUGCUAUGGUGAGUGCUGUGAAGUGUGUAAGCCUGAUGAUUCACAAACC
Mustela erminea (ermine) is the source of this 92-nucleotide long non-coding RNA. RefSeq lists it as uncharacterized. The transcript is spliced from 3 exons. The record is from RefSeq and is a predicted model, not a curated record. NCBI's taxonomy places the organism in Eukaryota, Metazoa, Chordata, Mammalia, Carnivora, Mustelidae.